Molecule: ribosomal RNA, 423 nt
Filed under: uncultured bacterium
Lineage: Bacteria
Description: bacterial SSU rRNA
Rfam family: Bacterial small subunit ribosomal RNA
Source: RNAcentral
AAUCUUCCACAAUGGACGAAAGUCUGAUGGAGCAACGCCGCGUGAGUGAAGAAGGUUUUCGGAUCGUAAAACUCUGUUGUUGGAGAAGAACGUAUUUGAUAGUAACUGAUCAGGUAGUGACGGUAUCCAACCAGAAAGCCACGGCUAACUACGUGCCAGCAGCCGCGGUAAUACGUAGGUGGCAAGCGUUGUCCGGAUUUAUUGGGCGUAAAGCGAGCGCAGGCGGUUUCUUAAGUCUGAUGUGAAAGCCUUCGGCUCAACCGAAGAAGUGCAUCGGAAACUGGGAAACUUGAGUGCAGAAGAGGACAGUGGAACUCCAUGUGUAGCGGUGAAAUGCGUAGAUAUAUGGAAGAACACCAGUGGCGAAGGCGGCUGUCUGGUCUGUAACUGACGCUGAGGCUCGAAAGCAUGGGUAGCAAACAG